Long non-coding RNA from Acyrthosiphon pisum (pea aphid), 1447 nucleotides. RefSeq lists it as uncharacterized. NCBI's taxonomy places the organism in Eukaryota, Metazoa, Arthropoda, Insecta, Hemiptera, Aphididae. The record is from RefSeq and is a predicted model, not a curated record. The transcript is spliced from 3 exons.
GAUUGACGUGAUCGUCGACAACGAGAGCGACAUUCCGAAGCUGUCCAAGCAGAAUUCGCUAAGAUCACACGUUGGCAGCAAUUAUUCGCAGUAUGAAGGGACAAGCAGCGGAAGCGAGACGGUUCCGUUGAAGCCGGCACCGGCGCGGGGUGCCGCGACCGCCAAACCGGAACAUCAGACGCUGUUGGACAUCGACAAUCCGGAACAAAACGCCAAUUCGUUUGGAAAACCGUUCGAGAGCUCGGUGAGUACGCCACUGGCCGAUCGUACGCCACUGCAGGUGCGUUCCUGUGGAGGUGUAUACCAGGCACGUAGCCAGGAUUUUAUUUUGGGGGGGGAGGGGGUCGAAAUAAAUGUUAGUACAAUUUUUAUGCUUAAUUGAUAUAAAAAACAUUUUUUUUUUUUUUAUAUAUAAACGGUACACAAAAAUUUCGGGGGGGUCCAGACUCUAUGUACCCCCCCUGGAUACGUGCCUGGUGUAUACCCUGUUCCAGGAUCGAAAUUAAAUUUUUGAUUUUUCGCACUACAUCAAUAUUAUAUUAUAAUGUAAUAUAAUAUAACGAAAUAUAAUAGAGCGUAUUAUUAGAAAACUGUUACUAUCUACCUAUACUUACUAUUAUUUUAUUAUUCAUAUUAGUUACGCUAAAAUAUCGAAUUAAAUACAGUUUUGAAAUUCAGUAUAUUAAAGAGUUUUGCGAUUUCUCAACUUUCGUACUACACUAUUUUAUAAUAUACGAUAUAGCAGUAAAACAAUUGCCCUUUCGACGAAACAGCCAAUUAAAAUUUAAAACAAAAUUAGGUACAGUUGAAAACUUUUCAACGAUUCGGCGAAAUUCGUUACUACGCGUCCGAGUUGGGUGUUGACGCACUGUUUGGGACAAUAUAUAGUGUGAGCACGUUUAUUAAAUAAAAUACCGACCACUAAUUUGUUUGGUGAGUAGGCACACAGCCACAUUAACUUUUCAGUUUUCUGUCACCACACUCACACUAUUCGCAUAUCAUCCCGAUAUUUCCCGUGAUUAUACGAUGCAAAUAUCUCGGCGCAUCCAAGUUGGGUCCCAAGUACUAUAGGUGUUAAUCUCAGGUACUACACUAUAGUUGGGUUCGGGAUUAUUUUAGGUACUACUCUAGUUAGGUCCUGGACAUUUUCAGGUACUACACUAUUUUUGGGUCCCUAAUAUUUGUUGGUGAGUACUACGGACUAAACUAACGUUUUAACAGACUCAGAAGUCUAUUCAAACCAAAGGUAUGUUUAAAAAUAUUUUUUAAAAUUUCUUUUUUUAGUUUCUUUGCCAUUAAAAAUCUAAAUUAUUUGAAUUUUACAAAUUUUGAUAUAUAUAAUACAAAUACGGGUACAAUGCCAAAAAUGAAUGUCAUAUAUAUUUUUACCAACACAAAAGUAUUUUUUAUACAACAUAUUUUGUUUUUAUUUGUAUAUCAUAGGUAG